This 390-nucleotide ribosomal RNA is filed under the name uncultured bacterium. RNAcentral describes it as "bacterial SSU rRNA". It matches the Rfam family "Bacterial small subunit ribosomal RNA", at positions 29 to 420 of the family's 1533-position model. The record is from RNAcentral.
AUUGAACGCUGGCGGCAUGCCUUACACAUGCAAGUCGAACGGCAGCACGGGAGCAAUCCUGGUGGCGAGUGGCGAACGGGUGAGUAAUAUAUCGGAACGUGCCCGGUCGUGGGGGAUAACGUAGCGAAAGCUACGCUAAUACCGCAUACGAUCUACGGAUGAAAGCGGGGGAUCGCAAGACCUCGCGCGAUUGGAGCGGCCGAUAUCAGAUUAGGUAGUUGGUGAGGUAAAGGCUCACCAAGCCGACGAUCUGUAGCUGGUCUGAGAGGACGACCAGCCACACUGGGACUGAGACACGGCCCAGACUCCUACGGGAGGCAGCAGUGGGGAAUUUUGGACAAUGGGCGCAAGCCUGAUCCAGCAAUGCCGCGUGCAGGAUGAAGGCCUCGG